This is a non-coding RNA of Glossina austeni, 195 nucleotides long. The record is from Rfam. NCBI's taxonomy places the organism in Eukaryota, Metazoa, Arthropoda, Insecta, Diptera, Glossinidae.
AGGUCCCAACACCGGAUGCGUGCUAAUGACAACCAGCCUCCGCGAAGUAAUACCUAAUGGUGGUCCCGCGGGGGAAAGUGGUAGAAGAAGUGUGGGGGGGUAGCUUUAAGUACGUAAGCGCCAUGGAUGGCAAAUAGUGCAUGCUGCUACCAAGAACCAGCAGUAUCUUUUGAAGAUUUUCUACCUCUAGCUCGC